GAUGAAGAACGUAGCGAAAUGCGAUACUUGGUGUGAAUUGCAGAAUCCCGUGAACCAUCGAGUCUUUGAACGCAAGUUGCGCCCGAAGCCAUUAGGCCGAGGGCACGUCUGCCUGGGCGUCACACGUCGUUGCCCCUCCCAACCCCUUCGGGAGUUGGCUGGGACGGAUGAUGGCCUCCCGUGCGCUCCGUCGCGCGGUUGGCAUAAAUAACAAGUCCUCGGCGGCCAACGCCGCGACAAUCGGUGGUUGUCAAACCUCGGUGUCCUGUCGCGCGCGCGUCGUCCGGGGCUUUUUCCAAUCUAAUGCGCGUCGAUUCGUCGGCGCUUUCAACGCGACCCCAGGUCAGGCGGGGUUACCCGCUGAAUUUAAGCAUAUCAAUAAGCGGAGGA
This 390-nucleotide unclassified non-coding RNA is filed under the name soil metagenome. RNAcentral's name for it is "partial contains 5.8S ribosomal RNA, internal transcribed spacer 2, and large subunit ribosomal RNA". The stretch from base 1 to 122 matches the Rfam family "5.8S ribosomal RNA", at positions 35 to 154 of the family's 154-position model. The record is from RNAcentral.